This 480-nucleotide ribosomal RNA is filed under the name uncultured bacterium. Its description in RNAcentral is "bacterial SSU rRNA". It matches the Rfam family "Bacterial small subunit ribosomal RNA", at positions 28 to 490 of the family's 1533-position model. The record is from RNAcentral.
GAUGAACGUUGGCGGCGUGCCUAAUACAUGCAAGUCGAACGAGGUGUCUUUGUAGCAAUACGAAGGUAUCCUAGUGGCGAACGGGUGAGUAACGCGUUGGUGACCUACCCCAAAGUGUGGGAUAACAGAUCGAAAGAUCUGCUAAUACCGCAUGUGGUCUUCGGAUUUAGAAACUGAUGACUAAAGGAGCAAUUCGCUUUGGGAGGGACCUGCGUCCCAUCAGCUAGUUGGUGAGGUAAUGGCUCACCAAGGCUACGACGGGUAGGGGACCUGAGAGGGUGGCCCCCCCACAAUGGAACUGAAACACGGUCCAUACACCUACGGGUGGCAGCAGUAGGGAAUAUUGCACAAUGGGCGAAAGCCUGAUGCAGCAACGCCGCGUGUGCGAUGAAGGCCUGGUCGUAAAGCUCUGUCGAACGGGAAAAAGGUAGAUAGGUGGUAGUAAUACGCCAUCUAAGUGAUUGUACCGUUAGUAGGAAG